This is a long non-coding RNA of Equus quagga, 1284 nucleotides long. RefSeq lists it as uncharacterized. The record is from RefSeq and is a predicted model, not a curated record. NCBI's taxonomy places the organism in Eukaryota, Metazoa, Chordata, Mammalia, Perissodactyla, Equidae. The transcript has 3 exons.
GGAGAAGGGAAGUGUCAGUCCAGUGGAAAGGAACCCCCAGUGCCCAGUGGAGAGGGGCCCCCAGUGCCCAGAGGCCCUCCCCAGUGGCUCACAGCCCUGACCCCUCGAGGCAUCAGGGCGGGGCAUUUCCUGGAGCCGGGGUAGGGCGGACUGAAACCUCAGGCCCUCGCUCGAAGCUGUGCCUUACCCUCCCACCAGCUUCCUGUCCAGCCUGUGCCCGCACCACAUCCGCCUGCCUGGGGGAUGAGGGACCAGCUCCUGGGGCGUCUCAUACUGAGGGCACGAGAUGGAUGGGCUGCCCCCCACCGCUGUCCGCUGCUCAGUGUCCCUGCCAGGCCACCCCAGGGCCACUGAUGAUUUCACGGCGAGGUGUGCCUGAUGGCUAGGGCUGCAGAGGCAUCGCAUGCUUGCAGCUGGAGCUGGCCACGCUCACCACAAAGAAGGGCCUCACCGACCGCAUUUCAGAGGUCUCUAUGUGAUCUUCCUGCAGAGUUUCCCUUCCACAGCUUAGAGCACUCUCCUAGGGUUUCUUCACAACCUUCUCCUCCUUCGGAAAAGUUGCCGCACACUGAAAUUCCUAAUCACAUUUUCCCCAGUGACUCCUAUUGUUAUGGAAAAAGCCCCACCAGGCUGGCUGGGAAUCUUCGAAGACAAAGGUGAUCAGUCUUCCUACAGAAAUGUCACUGGACUGUUCACUCUGGGGGCCAGAACCCCUCACCCUCACUCCCAACUUCCCAGUCUACAUGCUCCUUCCUCUGGUGGAUGGAAAACCCUUUCUAUUGCCCCCCCCCCCCACCUCCACAAUAAUUUUCUCCUCAUGUCUGGCUAAUUAAAUUGAUCACAGGUGAGUGUGGAGCCACUUUCUGCCUUGUCUGUUUGUUUCCCUUUAAAAUAACAUGUUUAUUAAAGGGAUGUGUUAACACAGGCUCCUACUGGCUAGCAAGAGCUGUUUAAGUUUUCAGGAAUUUCGCAGUGGUUGACAUCACAUGAGCAUCUUGAAAUCGCCAUGCCUGAUGGGACAGUUUACAUCACGAAAUCAGCAAAUGCUACAAAAUGGGUCUUUUAGCCCCUAGAUAGCCCGCUGUGAAAUAUUGACCCGCACACCCCUGAGUAUCAUCCACCACGUGACAGCAUAUUCUAAAGCCAGACUCUUCAACACCGGAGCACAUUCCCUGCCUCCACCAAGGACCAACUAGAACCACACUCCAUGGCACUGAGGGAUCAGUCUGGAAGGACCGCACUUCCUCCUCGGCCAGGAAGCAGAGAGAUGAGCUCCAGACCGGG